GACGAACGCUGGCGGCGUGCUUAACACAUGCAAGUCGAACGGUGAAGCGCCUUCCUUUUUGGUGGGUGUGGAUGAGUGGCGAACGGGUGAGUAACACGUGAGUAACCUGCCCCCUUCUUCUGGAUAACCGCAUGAAAGUGUGGCUAAUACGGGAUAUUCUGGGUCUGUCGCAUGAUGGGUCUGGGAAAGAUAUUGUUUCGGUGGGGGAUGGGCUCGCGGCCUAUCAGCUUGUUGGUGGGGUGAUGGCCUACCAAGGCGGCGACGGGUAGCCGGCCUGAGAGGGUGGACGGUCACACUGGGACUGAGACACGGCCCAGACUCCUACGGGAGGCAGCAGUGGGGAAUAGUGCACAAUGGGCGCAAGCCUGAUGCAGCGACGCCGCGUGAGGGAUGGAGGCCUUCGGGUUGUGAACCUCUUUCGCCAGUGAAGCAGGCCUGCCUCGUUUGUGGGUGGGUUGACGGUAGCUGGAUAAGAAGCGCCGGCUAACUACGUG
Molecule: ribosomal RNA, 494 nt
Filed under: uncultured bacterium
Lineage: Bacteria
Description: partial 16S ribosomal RNA
Rfam family: Bacterial small subunit ribosomal RNA
Source: RNAcentral